Molecule: ribosomal RNA, 106 nt
Filed under: Morchella esculenta
Lineage: Eukaryota; Fungi; Ascomycota; Pezizomycetes; Pezizales; Morchellaceae
Description: partial 25S ribosomal RNA
Source: RNAcentral
GUUCUCAUGCCCGAGGUGUGGCCAGCAGCCCUUGGUUAGACCAGCGCAGGCGGAGUCUUACCGAUACGGGCCACAGGGGGUCCUACCACUUGUGGGGCAGCUUCGG